RNAcentral lists this ribosomal RNA (274 nucleotides) under uncultured bacterium. RNAcentral's name for it is "partial 16S ribosomal RNA". It matches the Rfam family "Bacterial small subunit ribosomal RNA", at positions 523 to 796 of the family's 1533-position model. The record is from RNAcentral.
AUACGGAGGGUGCAAGCGUUAAUCGGAAUUACUGGGCGUAAAGCGUGCGUAGGUGGUUUGUUACGUUAGAUGUGAAAGCCCCGGGCUCAACCUGGGAACUGCAUUUGAAACUGGCAUACUAGAGUAUAGGAGAGGAAAGUGGAAUUUCAGGUGUAGCGGUGAAAUGCGUAGAUAUCUGAAGGAACAUCAAUGGCGAAGGCAGCUUUCUGGACUAAUACUGACACUGAGGUACGAAAGCGUGGGUAGCAAACAGGAUUAGAUACCCUAGUAGUCC